This 499-nucleotide ribosomal RNA is filed under the name uncultured bacterium. RNAcentral describes it as "partial 16S ribosomal RNA". It matches the Rfam family "Bacterial small subunit ribosomal RNA", at positions 30 to 523 of the family's 1533-position model. The record is from RNAcentral.
AUUGAACGCUGGCGGCAUGCCUUACACAUGCAAGUCGAACGGCAGCACGGGAGCAAUCCUGGUGGCGAGUGGCGAACGGGUGAGUAAAGUAUCGGAACGUGCCAGUCGUGGGGGAUAACGUAGCGAAAGUUACGCUAAUACCGCAUACGAUCUAUGGAUGAAAGCGGGGGAUCGCAAGACCUCGCGCGAUUGGAGCGGCCGAUAUCAGAUUAGGUAGUUGGUGGGGUAAAGGCUCACCAAGCCGACGAUCUGUAGCUGGUCUGAGAGGACGACCGGCCACACUGGGACUGAGACACGGCCCAGACUCCUACGGGAGGCAGCAGUGGGGAAUUUUGGACAAUGGGCGAAAGCCUGAUCCAGCCAUGCCGCGUGCAGGAUGAGGGCCUUCGGGUUGUAAACUGCUUUUGUACGGAACGAAAAGGUUUGGCCUAAUAAGCUGAGCUCAUGGCGGUACCGUAAGAAUAAGCACCGGCUAACUACGUGCCAGCCGCCGCGGUAA